UCGUUAAAAUGUCUGUGACCGUAUG
Molecule: microRNA, 25 nt
Filed under: Drosophila mojavensis
Lineage: Eukaryota; Metazoa; Arthropoda; Insecta; Diptera; Drosophilidae
Description: Dmo-Mir-2-P2b1_5p* (star (passenger))
Source: RNAcentral